Molecule: ribosomal RNA, 253 nt
Filed under: uncultured bacterium
Lineage: Bacteria
Description: partial 16S ribosomal RNA
Rfam family: Bacterial small subunit ribosomal RNA
Source: RNAcentral
UACGGAGGGGGCAAGCGUUGUUCGGAAUUACUGGGCGUAAAGGGCGCGUAGGCGGCCUGUUAAGUCGAAUGUGAAAUCCCUGGGCUCAACCCAGGAACUGCGUCCGAUACUGGCAGGCUUGAAUCCGGGAGAGGGAUGUGGAAUUCCAGGUGUAGCGGUGAAAUGCGUAGAUAUCUGGAGGAACACCGGUGGCGAAGGCGGCAUCCUGGACCGGUAUUGACGCUGAGGCGCGAAAGCGUGGGGAGCGAACAGG